GCUCAGGAUGAACGCUGGCGGCGUGCUUAACACAUGCAAGUCGAACGGUGAAGCAGAGCUUGCUCUGUGGAUCAGUGGCGAACGGGUGAGUAACACGUGAGCAACCUGCCCCUGACUCUGGGAUAAGCGCUGGAAACGGCGUCUAAUACUGGAUACGAGCAAGAACCGCAUGGUUACUUGUUGGAAAGAUUUUUUGGUUGGGGAUGGGCUCGCGGCCUAUCAGCUUGUUGGUGAGGUAAUGGCUCACCAAGGCGUCGACGGGUAGCCGGCCUGAGAGGGUGACCGGCCACACUGGGACUGAGACACGGCCCAGACUCCUACGGGAGGCAGCAGUGGGGAAUAUUGCACAAUGGGCGGAAGCCUGAUGCAGCAACGCCGCGUGAGGGAUGACGGCCUUCGGGUUGUAAACCUCUUUUAGCAGGGAAGAAGCGAAAGUGACG
RNAcentral lists this ribosomal RNA (440 nucleotides) under Microbacterium sp. IGS110. RNAcentral describes it as "bacterial SSU rRNA". It matches the Rfam family "Bacterial small subunit ribosomal RNA", at positions 22 to 474 of the family's 1533-position model. The record is from RNAcentral. Lineage: Bacteria; Bacillati; Actinomycetota; Actinomycetes; Micrococcales; Microbacteriaceae.